RNAcentral lists this ribosomal RNA (497 nucleotides) under uncultured bacterium. RNAcentral describes it as "partial 16S ribosomal RNA". It matches the Rfam family "Bacterial small subunit ribosomal RNA", at positions 28 to 507 of the family's 1533-position model. The record is from RNAcentral.
GAUGAACGCUGGCGGCGUGCCUAAUACAUGCAAGUCGAGCGAACAGACGCCUAGCUUGCUUGUCUGAUGUUAGCGGCGGACGUAUUAGUAACACAUGGAUAACCUACCUAUAAGACUGGGAUAACUUCGGGAAACCGGAGCUAAUACCGGCUAAUAUUUUGAACGGCAUGGUUAAAAAGUGAAAGACGGUUUUGCUGUCACUUAUAGCUGGAUCCGCGCUGGAUUAGCUAGUUGGUAAGGUAACGGCCUACCAAGGCAACGAUGCGUAGCCGACCUGAGAGGACGACCAGCCACACUGGGACUGAGACACGGCCCAGACUCCUACGGGAGGCAGCAGUAGGGAAUCUUCCGCAAUGGGCGAAAGCCUGACGGAGCAAUGCCGCGUGAGUGAUGAAGGUCUUCGGGUCGUAAACCUCUGUUAGUAGGGAAGAACAGAUGUGUAAGUAACUCGGCACCUAUUGACGGUACCUAAACAGAAAGCCACGGCUAACUACGUG